Molecule: ribosomal RNA, 432 nt
Filed under: uncultured bacterium
Lineage: Bacteria
Description: partial 16S ribosomal RNA
Rfam family: Bacterial small subunit ribosomal RNA
Source: RNAcentral
AACGAACGCUGGCGGCAGGCCUAACACAUGCAAGUCGAGCGAGGACUUCGGUCCUAGCGGCGGACGGGUGAGUAACGCGUGGGAACGUGCCCUUUGCUUCGGAAUAGCCCUGGGAAACUGGGAGUAAUACCGGAUGAGCCCUUUGGGGGAAAGAUUUAUCGGCGAAGGAUCGGCCCGCGUUGGAUUAGGUAGUUGGUGGGGUAAUGGCCUACCAAGCCGACGAUCCAUAGCUGGUUUGAGAGGAUGAUCAGCCACACUGGGACUGAGACACGGCCCAGACUCCUACGGGAGGCAGCAGUGGGGAAUCUGAGACAAUGGGGGAAACCCUGAUCUAGCCAUGCCGCGUGAGCGAUGAAGGCCUUAGGGUUGUAAAGCUCUUUCAGCUGGGAAGAUAAUGACGGUACCAGCAGAAGAAGCCCCGGCUAACUCCGU